ACUAAGCGUACACGGUGGAUGCCCUGGCAGUCAGAGGCGAUGAAGGACGUGCUAAUCUGCGAUAAGCGUCGGUAAGGUGAUAUGAACCGUUAUAACCGGCGAUUUCCGAAUGGGGAAACCCAGUGUGAUUCGUCACACUAUCAUUAACUGAAUCCAUAGGUUAAUGAGGCGAACCGGGGGAACUGAAACAUCUAAGUACCCCGAGGAAAAGAAAUCAACCGAGAUUCCCCCAGUAGCGGCGAGCGAACGGGGAGCAGCCC
RNAcentral lists this ribosomal RNA (260 nucleotides) under Escherichia coli. RNAcentral's name for it is "partial 23S ribosomal RNA". It matches the Rfam family "Bacterial large subunit ribosomal RNA", at positions 10 to 270 of the family's 2925-position model. Lineage: Bacteria; Pseudomonadati; Pseudomonadota; Gammaproteobacteria; Enterobacterales; Enterobacteriaceae. The record is from RNAcentral.